Molecule: unclassified non-coding RNA, 224 nt
Filed under: Hevea brasiliensis (rubber tree)
Lineage: Eukaryota; Viridiplantae; Streptophyta; Magnoliopsida; Malpighiales; Euphorbiaceae
Source: RNAcentral
GGAAGAAUCACUUGCUGAUCCAACUGGACUAGAUAUUGAUGAAUUGAAACAAAGGUCUGAAGAGGAUAUGGAUGUCGAUGAAGAGAUGAAGGGAGAAGAGCUGGAUUUCAAAGAAGAGAUAAGUCCUGAAGGUGAGUCUGCUGAGAAUGAGAACCAUGAUGAGUCUGCUGAGAAUGGGGAUGGCAAAGAAAAUGCAAAUCCUGUUGAUGAUGAAACGAUGGACG